Molecule: ribosomal RNA, 401 nt
Filed under: uncultured bacterium
Lineage: Bacteria
Description: bacterial SSU rRNA
Rfam family: Bacterial small subunit ribosomal RNA
Source: RNAcentral
AGCUAGGAAUCUUGGGAAUGGGCGAAAGCCUGACCCAGCAACGCCGCGUGGGCGAUGAAGGCCUUCGGGUCGUAAAGCCCUUUUGCGGGGGAAGAUUAUGACGGUACCCCGCGAAUAAGCCACGGCUAACUACGUGCCAGCAGCCGCGGUAAUACGUAGGUGGCAAGCGUUGUCCGGAUUUACUGGGCGUAAAGGGCGUGCAGGCGGUCUGUUAAGUCUAGGGUGAAAGCUCCCGGCUCAACUGGGAGAGGUCCUUGGAUACUGGCAGACUUGAGGAGGGUAGAGGAGAGUGGAAUUCCCGGUGUAGUGGUGAUAUGCGUAGAUAUCGGGAGGAACACCAGUGGCGAAGGCGGCUCUCUGGGCCCUACCUGACGCUGAGACGCGAAAGCGUGGGGAGCGAA